UCUAGUUGCAAGAACAAAAAACAAAUCAGGGUGCAACACCUACUAAUAACGUGUAAUGGCAUAUGACUAGAAAUCUAGAAUAUAUAUUAUAACAUGAGAGUAAGAAGCCAAUCUGUAAUCUGCACUAAAUUAGGUCAUACAUCAAAAGAAAAAUGAAUAAAAACACAAAGACAGUGAUUCGUAGAUGAAUCAAAUACUGCCAGAACAACAGCUAUGCUUAUGUAAACAUGCAGCAAUCUAAACUUUUGAAAAUAGUUAGUACCAUGCACCGAUUUUUUAUAAGCAUAUAUGAUAACUUUUCAAAGAAUGGUAUCAGCGGCAGUGAAGUAUGAAAUCUGCAAAUUUACCGACUCAAUAUAUAUGACACUUAAUUGAUAGCCAAUGAUACUGGCAGAUAAAUCAUCUCUAACAGUCUGACACAAUGCAAAAGAAAAAUGUGGCAUUGCUGAAAAAGAUCCAAGAGCAAGCAACUACUAGUUCUACUUUUGCUUUGGAAGCUCACCGAGGGGAUCUAUACU
RNAcentral lists this long non-coding RNA (518 nucleotides) under Setaria italica (foxtail millet). Its description in RNAcentral is "long non-coding RNA (SITA_LNC001262)". The record is from RNAcentral. Lineage: Eukaryota; Viridiplantae; Streptophyta; Magnoliopsida; Poales; Poaceae.